ACGUGUACAAAUUUCUCCGACCUGCCACAGUAAGAGGUGUUCUAUGCCACUCCUUCUUUGUCUCAUUUAGACCACCAAAUGUUUUAUGCUGUGCGUGAAUGUACAAAGUACCUCUGUGGACACCCUAGGGGUCACGGACUCCCUGUUGAAGACCUCUGAUUUACAGGCGCCAAAGAGGGCGAGGAGGUGAGGAGGAAGAUUGACGAAGAGGAGCAUGAUGAAGCAUGUUGGAGCAACACUACUCGUGGCAGACUUCAUGAGAGCCUACGACGACUACUUUGGGACAAAUGAUCCAGAAACUUAUAUUUUUUAACCUGAAUAUACAGAGGCUGUUACGUGCGGGGGGUCGCAGCUUGCUGCGAGGUUUGUUCCCCCGGGAUGCAAACGGACCACUCCGGACAGGACGUGCAGGUAGGAACAUGAUUUAUUCUUCAAAACUCAAGGAAGCACCAAAAACCGAAAACAAGCCGAAGCAACAACGUGCCGAUCGCACUGGAAGCUAAGGCUACCACUUAGCAUAGACUAGAAGACAAGGAAUACUCACGUAGCAGGUUGCGUGUAGCAAACAAAGAAGCCAGGCCGACUGAUCGGCAAAGGCAGGGUUAAAUAAUGCCUCUGAUUAGUGCUCGAGGAACAGGUGAGCGUCCCGAACACCAAUCAGAGGCAGGGGAAAAUAAUAAGUAGCCAAGGUAACGAAACAAACUCAAGGGUGCACAGGGAACAGGUGAGCGUCCCGAACACCAAUCAGACGCAGGUGAAUAUAAUAAGUAGCCAAGGUAACUAAACAAACUCAUGGGUGCUCAACAACAGGAAUUAAGGGAGUCCAAAACUAACAGAAAAUAACAAAAACAUGAUCCGGGCCACGGAUCAUGACAGAGGCUGAGCUACAAGUUUUCGAAGCUGAGUGGUAAGCAGAUCCAGCAGACCGCUCUAUUGCAAAGUGCUAUACAAGAAAUACAAACUACGAACAUAAUAAAACAAUCACUUUCUGUACAAUGUCUGCUCUCACUGGGAUGACGACUGAUGGGAUGUUCAUAGCUUCCCGUUUAAAAGAAGAAUUAAUCAUAAUUUUCACGCAGGUUAAAAAAAGAACCCUCAAACAUCUCUCCUUUAUCUGACAGUUUUACAUUUAACCUCGCGUGCGUGUGCGUGUGCGCGCGUGUGUUAGACGGCCGCUAAUUGAAUAACGACAUGAAUGCGUCUGAUGGAUGAGCUGACACUUUCCUCACUUCUCUUCUUCCAUCAAUGUCAUCCUUCUAUUGGCUGUCAGCUUAGCUCUCAAACUUCCAUAAUAAUUCAGACUUUUAAAUUCACGAUUAUAUAAUUAAAUAAUUGUCAUUUUUGUUUAUUCAUAAAUGUUGUUUUUUUUGUUUUCAUAUAAAAUAUUAUAUUUUUUUUGACAAGUUGCGUUUGUGUGAAAGAGUUAUUCGGUCACAAUGAUAAAGAAAAAAAAAUAAUUUAGUCAUUAUGGUAAAAGUAUAUACAUUUUUGUAACUUCUACAGGAACAAAGUGGUAUAAUUCCAUCCAUCCAUCCAUUUCAUACCGCUUGUCCCUUUAUGAUAAAAAAAAAAAAUGGUCAUUUUACUUUAUAUAUUUUCACAAAUUAAUACAUUUUCCAAAACAAUUAAGUGGAAUCUCUGUAUCGUCCCUGUCAUGCUGCCAAACAUUG
Long non-coding RNA from Entelurus aequoreus (snake pipefish), 1670 nucleotides. RefSeq lists it as uncharacterized. The record is from RefSeq and is a predicted model, not a curated record. The transcript is spliced from 4 exons. Lineage: Eukaryota; Metazoa; Chordata; Actinopteri; Syngnathiformes; Syngnathidae.